UCCGCCCGAGCACUACGAGCCAUAGCUUAAAACUCAAAGGACUUGACGGUAUCCUACACCCACCUAGAGGAGCCUGUUCUAUAAUUGAUAUUCCCCAAUCAACCUCACCGCCUCUUGCCCCUGCAGUCUAUAUACCACCGUCGCAAGCUUACCUCCCCAAGGAAUAAAAGUGAGCCAAAUAAUUUAAAAUUAAAAAGUCAGGUCAAGGUGUAACACAUGCGGCGGAAAGAAAUGGGCUACAUUUUCUUUAAAGAAAAUACGAAAUAUUAAAUGAAAUAAAAUAUGAAGGAGGAUUUAGCAGUAAAGAGAAAAAAGAGUGUUCACUUUAAGCCGGCAAUAGGAUAAGUACACACCGCCCGUCACCCUCCUCAAACACAAUUAUAUAAUAAAUAAAAAUAAAUAUGCAAAAAGAAGAGGAAAGUCGUAACAUGGUAAGUCUACCGGAAGGUGGCCUUGGAAC
This 460-nucleotide ribosomal RNA is filed under the name Nyctanolis pernix (nimble long-limbed salamander). Its description in RNAcentral is "partial 12S ribosomal RNA". It matches the Rfam family "Bacterial small subunit ribosomal RNA", at positions 868 to 1524 of the family's 1533-position model. Lineage: Eukaryota; Metazoa; Chordata; Amphibia; Caudata; Plethodontidae. The record is from RNAcentral.